Molecule: ribosomal RNA, 330 nt
Filed under: uncultured soil bacterium
Lineage: Bacteria
Description: bacterial SSU rRNA
Rfam family: Bacterial small subunit ribosomal RNA
Source: RNAcentral
GCGGUAACAGGGGUAAUUUAUUACCUGCUGACGAGCGGCGGACGGCUGAGUGACGCGUGGGAACAUGCCCCAAAGUGAGGAAUAAGCUCCAGAAAUGGAGUCUAAUGCCGCAUAUGAUCUUCGGAUUAAAGGAUUUAUCCGCUUUGGGAGUGGCCUGCGUAUGAUUAGAUAGUUGGUGAGGUAAUGGCUCACCAAGUCUACGAUCAUUAACUGGUCUGAGAGGAUGAUCAGUCAGACUGGAACUGAGACACGGUCCAGACUCCUACGGGAGGCAGCAGUGAGGAAUCUUCCACAAUGGGCGAAAGCCUGAUGGAGCGACGCCGCGUGCAG